Long non-coding RNA from Mus musculus (house mouse), 178 nucleotides. RefSeq annotates it as predicted gene, 46867. NCBI's taxonomy places the organism in Eukaryota, Metazoa, Chordata, Mammalia, Rodentia, Muridae. The record is from RefSeq and is a predicted model, not a curated record. The transcript has 3 exons.
GGCCCUUCCACGAUGGACGCCAUCUUGGGAGCCGCCAAUGACAACAAACGGCCUGACUGUCCACUUGGAUACCCACAUCUCAGCUAACCUGGGCACUAGCUUCAAGAUGCUUGAACUAUCAUUUGAACUCUAUGCAUUGUUAGGGAUUGAACCAAAGGCCUCAUGAAUACAAGGCAAG